CAGUAGCCACGGUAAUACGUAGGUGGCAAGCGUUGUCCGGAUUUAUUGGGCGUAAAGCGAGCGCAGGCGGUUCCUUAAGUCUGAUGUGAAAGCCCACGGCUCAACCGUGGAAGGUCAUUGGAAACUGGGGAACUUGAGUGCAGAAGAGGAGAGUGGAAUUCCAUGUGUAGCGGUGAAAUGCGUAGAUAUAUGGAGGAACACCAGUGGCGAAGGCGACUCUCUGGCUUGUAACUGACGCUGAGGCUCGAAAGCGUGGGGAGCAAACAGGAUUAGAUACCCCCGUAGUCCCUGUCUCUUAUAC
RNAcentral lists this ribosomal RNA (301 nucleotides) under uncultured bacterium. RNAcentral's name for it is "partial 16S ribosomal RNA". It matches the Rfam family "Bacterial small subunit ribosomal RNA", at positions 509 to 807 of the family's 1533-position model. The record is from RNAcentral.